AAGGCAGCUGUAUUGUAAAAUAUGGUUGAAUUGUCUUCCUUUUAAAAAUAAAGACAAAUUAAGAUGAAUUUUAUUAAUUCUUCUCUAUAUUUUUAUUUUGAUGAAAAUUUUUUUAAGCCAAAGUAAAUUUUUAGUUUAAACUUUAGAAAAAUAAAUCUUUGGUAAGUAUUUAGUGUUAUAUAGUUUAGUAUUGAAUUAAGCGUUGUUAAUAGUAAAUCAUAAUUUUAAAUUUUGAAGUGAAAGGCUUUUAUAUUGCUAGAUGUGCAUUUUAAAUCUAAUAUAACGGCAAUUGGUUAUUUUAAAAUUGAGAUUAUAUUCUAAAUAUUGCUUAAUAU
This 335-nucleotide unclassified non-coding RNA is filed under the name Borreliella garinii. RNAcentral's name for it is "partial 16S-23S ribosomal RNA intergenic spacer". The record is from RNAcentral. Lineage: Bacteria; Pseudomonadati; Spirochaetota; Spirochaetia; Spirochaetales; Borreliaceae.